CUAAGUGUCGCAGUUUUGGUGUGUUCACCCUUUAUUAUGUUUUCUAUUCAGCUUUAAUACAUUUUUUUAUAUAAUUCAUCUUAUAAUGUAAACCAUUACAAUAUAAGCUUCAAACUUUGUCCAAAAUUUAGGAAAAUUCGCCAGACUAGUGAAUUUUUUGGUUGCUAAAAAUGCCGUUGAUAUUUAGUAAUUCUUUUGCGCAACUUGGGAAAUUUUCACUAAUAAAUGUGUGACUCUCCUAUUUUUUAUUUUUUUUUAUUUUUACGUGCAAAAAUUGGUGCGUUGAUUGGUCAUAUUUGAGUGUUUAAGUGAGAAGUUGUCGGACCAGAAGAUAAAAGGAUCUGCCCAACUCAUAGCGCUACCACUACAUGUUUUGCUGCGUGCAACUAUAAAACGAAAAGCGAAUAGCGUCAAAAAGAUUUACAGGUCUACCAUCAAAGAUUCGCAGAUAUCAUUUCUCCUUCAUGUAAUUACGGCCAACGAUGUUGAAAACAGUUUAGAAAAGCUGAAGAGUUCUCUUUACGACCGCGGUGAGAGCUUACAACCAAUUGUUAUUGCAGUUGGUUAGAAUUUAAGUGACUCAAAAUUUUAUGUUUAUUUCGAUGAAAUCAAAUAUGAGCUGCCUUGUUUUUUAAGCGCCUUUGAUACCUGUUUUAAAGUGUUUCAUGUAUUGAAUUUAAAAUACUCUGGCUUAGAGUUUUGGAUGUUCGUUCAAAAAUAUUUUUAUUGUAUACAUUUAAAAGACGACAAGCCAUCUCCUAAUGUACUAUGUUUAAUUAACAACCUAAAAUAAUGGGUUUAUAAGCCUUAAUUAUUAUAUUA
Rhagoletis zephyria (snowberry fruit fly) is the source of this 822-nucleotide long non-coding RNA. RefSeq lists it as uncharacterized. NCBI's taxonomy places the organism in Eukaryota, Metazoa, Arthropoda, Insecta, Diptera, Tephritidae. The record is from RefSeq and is a predicted model, not a curated record.